Columba livia (rock pigeon) is the source of this 5824-nucleotide long non-coding RNA. RefSeq lists it as uncharacterized. Lineage: Eukaryota; Metazoa; Chordata; Aves; Columbiformes; Columbidae. The record is from RefSeq and is a predicted model, not a curated record. The transcript is spliced from 3 exons.
CAGCAGCAGGCCAGACAUCAAGGUAGGGAUGAUGUCUGAGCAUGCCAAUGGCUGGGAGAGGAGCCUGCACUUCCUUUGAAGUUCCAGCAUCAAAGAUGACGAAUAACUCUUUUCUCCAUGUUCCAGUUUCACACAUCAUCUGAGCAUCCUUUGGCAGCAACAGUUGGACCAAACCUUGGAGCAGCAGCUGGUAUAUGAAGACAAAGGCAAAUAUGAAGACAAAGUAAAAGCAGCCAUGCGUUUGCUUUCAAGAAACACAGGAGGCACUGUGUUCAAAAACCUUCCAGGGCUAGGCUUUGGGAUACAGCAAGCAUCUUAGCAUCUACGGUACUUAUAGAAGAUUUCUAAAACCAAAGGUGAAAAUCCAGAACAGUAGGAGCUGGAAUGACAGGUCGGUGUUUCCAAGGGGUGAAGGUUCUCCCCCAGUGUCCGAGUUUGCAGCCUAUCUCACAGACCCAUCCGCCCUGUGCACGGUGACCGUGGCUUCCCCUCUGCUGAGGGCUUCUGUGCAUUUCCAGAUGUUUGCACAGGAGGCUUUUGCAAAAUGUUUUAUUGUCUACCAGAAAUAAAAAUUAAUAUUGACCAGAAUUUAUAACCAGAGAGUCAAUUCCAGAUCAUAUUACAUUUUGAAAUCAGUUUAAUCCGGAAAGAUUUUGGGAUUCUUGGCACUAAGAGUUUGUCUUGCAGUUGAAAUCACUGACUAUUCUGCGUACAUGGAAAUGAUUCCAUUUCUUUGUGGUACACAUGUAGAACUGUCUCAUGCUAUUGGAGAUUUAAUUUGGGCAUUGAUGUAAGAAUAGACCCCUUUCAUUGCAUGUGUACUAACUACUGAUAUUAUUUGUGAUUCAAGCAUUUCUGGCAAUUUGAAGUGAUCCGAUGAUUUUAAAAUCAUUCUUAAUUUCAUAAGUCUACUCCUUUAAUCUCUUUCAAAUUACUGAAAAUGUAAGGCAUUCCAAACAUUUCUGAUUGUUCUUCACUGCUUUGGCCCCAUAAAGCCAAUCUUUUCUGAAGUUAAGCACUUAAAAAUUUGAAGUACUCCAAUAAAUUUAAAUUGGCAUAUUCUGUGCAUAUCAAUUGAGAAUUAUUAGAGCAUUAGUGCCUAGGAGUGAUAGCUGAGGGCAUGCAAACCAGUUCAUACAUUGAUUUUUAAUGACUUCUUAUUGAUUCCAUGCUUUUUAAACUUGAUACCCUUAGGUUGCCUCUUACAUAGAGUUAACAGAUUUGUGAUGAUACACUAAGUUUGGAAGAGGUACCUUUUUCCUCUUCUGCUUUUUCUUUUCUCCUUAUGGUUUAUUAUUAUAACUUUGUUCAGAUGCAAAUAGCAAAUACUUUGUGGCUUAAAAAAGGGUGAAUGUGGUUUUAAUGGCAUACGGCUGCUCAUGUUUUCCUUGCUUAUCAGUAGACAAGGUUUACGUUCAAACUUUUAAGGGUCUCUCCUACACUCAGUGUAUGCACUCAGUGCUCACCAGCAAUGAUGGAUGCCCUAGGCCUGCACUGACAGGAGAAACAGGUAUCUUAGUAAUUUUUAAAAGUCAAUCUUAAUUUGUUGGACCAAGAUAUUGUAGGUGUCAUAAAGCACAAAGUGAAAAUGUACAUUAAUACUUUUACAUUUUUGAAAAUUGUUGAUUUAUAUUAUGAAACACACACACCUCUGCUCUGUAUGUAUUUCCACUGUGUUUAUUAAUACUUUUGUGUUGACCAAUUAACCAACAUGUUGUCAGUGCAGCCUGCGCUGGUGAUAACUGGGGGAAGUGGGUACCAUACUGCCAUGGUGGCCACCAUCCUUUGCAGAAGGAGGAAGGCUGGGGAUGGUGCCCAGGCACAGGGGAAUGCCAGAGAGAGCCCUGAUGGAGCGGCUGCCCUGGGCUGGCUGCAGGGCAGCUGAUGGUAGUGCGGGAUGUGCCCAACUGAUGCAUCAGGAAGGUUUGGGGAAGAACCACUUGGAAACAGUUACACCACAGCCCUUCCUUGGGUGUGAGAUAUGUUUUUUCCACAGUUUCCCUUCAUGGAGUGUAACAGGGCAAGUGAGAAUAUUUCUAAUAGAUUCAAUUCUUGUGGGUUUUUCAGUGCUUCUCCCCUGCUGCUUGGGCUGUGUUGUGUGAGCUGUUUUAGGAGGCAGUGGUUCCAGUUACAUUUUGUGGGGAACAAAAUGCUCACACUUCAUUGCUGUGACACCAUUGCUUGUGGUACCCUUGCUGAGGAUCCUGCCAGAAAGCCUGCUGACCAUCACACGCAGGUGUCCCUCUCUCCCCCCCACUAGACGAGAUCCCCUCCGGCUGCGGCUAAGGCACGUAGCAGUCUGAAGAGACAUUAAUUGCUGCUAACUGUGAUGAGCACUUCUGUGUUUAGGCUUUGUUUAGGGCAAAUUCCUCUGCAAUUGCAUUGUUGGAAGCCGCGGGUCUGUUAAAGUCGGAGUUAUUAGGCCAUGUGCUUUCUGUGUGUUGUCAUAGUCGGAAAAACACCAGUGCAAACGUCUGUGCUGGGCAGAGGAAGUGUUAAGUGAAGAAUAAAAACAAGCCCAAAUUCCCAUUUGGAAACUGCAUGCCUCAACAAAUACCACUGUUCAUAGCAAGUUAUUAGCUUCUUGGUUGUAAUUCUGGUCCUUUGCAAAAGAGAGGUGGAAAAAGCAUGUAAAAGAGAUUUUUGAUACUUCACGGUAUAUUGAAUGAACAGCAGAAAGCUCCCCAGUCUGCCCAUUUCCAUUUACAAUUCGGACGUGGUUGAGGAAACACUUCCAUCUCUUUUCCCAUGUGAUUUGUCAUGUCUUCUCGUGGCAGCACCCUGAACACACCAAAAUGCACCUGAAUAACACACUCUUGGGUUACAAAUCUGAAAAGUCCCUGUUUUUCUCAGCUGAGCUAUGUAUGAGUGACCUGUAAGAAGCCCUUUUCUCCUUCUGCAUAGGACGGGUCUCCACUGUGGGCACUACGAGGGCUCGCUGGUGGGCAGGAGCUGGUCAUCUUCCACAGGGUACCAAGGAAGGAAGGAUGGCCUGUCCCUGGGCGAGAGGGCCGCCAAACCUCAGCAGGCUGGCAGGGGAUUACCCCCCUGAAAGUAGGAUGAGAAAGUUGGAAUUACAGUUAAAUGCCUUCUGGGAGGCUGAGAUGGUAGCAGAUCAACCAUUUCAGCUUCUCCCGCACAGCUCUCACCCGUACGUGUAUCUGGGACGUACUGGUGUACCUGGACAUCACCCCUCCCCGCACCUCUGGGCUGCGGCACCCGGCAGAUGUGCCCAGAAGGGGCCAAUGUCUUCCAGAAUGCUGGGAAUUUCCACAGCUACGAUAUGCUGUGAAACCAUCUGCAUUUUUAACAAAGUUCAGUGUGAUUGUGGUUUUGUCUUUUAUGUUGACUUUCUAAAGAUACUCCAGAAUUUCCCUCAGGAAUCUUUAGUGAAUCUGUGGAUUUCAAAUUAUUAUUGUAACAUAUUACAGGACAAUUAAUUUGUAAGCACUGUUACCUGUCCUAGAAAGCAGAUUCUGAGAGGAAUUAUUUUAUCUUUAUAAUUUAAUGUAUCUUGUAAUGAAAACUAAUCUAUGUGGUUCAAAUUCAGACAUUAAAACAAGUUAAAGGGGUCAGUAUAUACAAUAAAUUUCCCUUUGCCAAUUUACUUCAUUAAUUUAGACAUUGCCUUUUCACUUUAACUCAUUAAAACUUUUUUGCCAAGUUUACUUAUCUGUGUUAAGGAUACAAUUAAUAUUAUAAUUUUUAAUUAUGCAGUUGGUUUUAUCAGAGCCAAAGUGUUUCCUUAAGUGUGAAUAUCAAAAUAGAGUCCAUAUUUUUUUAAGAAAGUGAAGCACUGCAAUUUCACUAAUUCCUUAAUAACACAAAUAUUUAUGUAUCUUUCUCCUUACUGUUUAUGCGUCAAUAGCUAUGUUGUUUUAUUUUAUUUUAUAACCUUAGCAUAAUAUACUACUGAAAGCUAUGUAUUGUACUACUUAAUUCUGUACCACUCAUUCUGAUUUAUGGCAUCAUUUUGUUUCCAGUUCAUUCCUUAUCUUCAAAAGGCUUGAUCCAAAACUCAUCAAAUUCAGAGGAAUAGAUCCCAGUGGGCUUUGGAUUAGUCUAGUAGGGUGAAACUGUGGACUUGACAAAGUUUGCAUUACAUGUGCAGCUAUGCAGUAGUGAGAUGACUUGAUAGAUUUCUAAUUCAGCUACUUCUAUUUAGAAGCAAGUUCUUGAGUAUCCUGACCAUGCACUUGAAAUUUAAGAGACUGUUUUAGUUGCAUAUAUUCAUCCAUUUUCUUACUAUGACAUUUGAGAAUACAUUUAUUUGCCAGUUUGAUUUUAUCAUCAUUAUGGAGGACUCAUGUUUCUAAUUUCUCCUACAGGCUCUUGAAUUGUUAAUGUUAACUCCUACUGAACCCAAUCUUGUUUUCUAACAGAGGGAUACCAUUCUGAACUUGUAUUGAUGCUGAGCUGUUAAAAAUAUGUUCUUCGGGAAUGACAGGUUUACAAGUCAUAAUAAAGUACAGCUCAUCACAAAAGGAUGGAAAAGCAUUAAUGCAGAAGACAUCUGGUAAAUAAUAGUACAAUGUAUUUAUCUUGUUAUUUCUUAGUUAUAGAUGUAUGGAGUGAUAGAUAUAGAAUUAUGAAAUUGAUUUAAGUUCUUCAGUGCAGCAGAAGCUGUUUUGUCAUCUUCAGUGCUCUUGCUUUUCUUUUUCACCUGACAUUGUUAAAUUGGAACAACCUGGACAUAUCUUCCAUUAUAUACCAGCUAGAACAUUCCUGGGUUUGCCAUUAACUUGAUAAUUCCUAGUAUUCUGGCUGAUUACGUAUAUGGACUGCUGCACAUGAGAUUCGUUUUAUUAAAUAAAUACAGAAGGAAUGUGUUAAUAUGAAAUGAUUGUAACAGAUACCACUAGAUAAUAAUGUAUGCUACAAGCUACCUUAAAAUGUAUUUUUGAUAUAUAGCUGCGCUGCCUGAUACAUAGUUAUUGUGCAGCUGAUUAGCUAUGGUGAGAAAUUACUCAUUCCCUUGUAUUAACUACACUGUUUAACUACACUGUUUCCACCAAUCAGUAUGAAGUAUGCCAACUUUGUUUAGCCUGUGCACUUGUGCAAUGAUGAACAAGUAAUGCAUAAAACAAACCCUCCUACCUAAUCAAACAUUCCUCAGAGAUUUGAAAACAGAAACAAAGGGUAAAUCCAUUCGUAGAUUGUAAUGGUAAAACAAAAUAAAGUUUGACACAUGUAUAUGGAAAAUAUGAACACAUGAUGUGAAUAUUUUUUUUAAACAACAACAUGUUUGAAUUAUUAAUAAAUGCAAAAAAUAUGUUUUAACACAAUAUGGAACAAUUGGAAGGAUAUAUUUCUUUAGAAUCACAGGGUCAGGAAAGAUCUCUAUUGAAUACAAACAUUACACAUGUUUUUUUCCCCUCUCAGUUUGCAUUUUAGCCUUCUCAAACGUCUCUCUCAUCAUGAAACACAGCCAUGGUUAUAGUUGGGAGAGUUUCUCUUUUUCAUCCUUGAGCCUGCAGUACAAUCUUCAAUCUCUGAGUAUAUAAUAAACGAAGUUUGUUAACCUUCAGGGUGCGAAACCCAUUUUUCUCUUCUUGUCCUAGGGUGUUAGGUGUUGAGGAUAGCUGAUGAGCAGUUCUUUAGGGAGGACUGUACUGCUAUCCAAGAAAGAGCUUACCUUUAAUUUUGUCAUAUAUCCUGGUUGCCACAUUAUUUGAUUUUAAGAUAAUUGAUGGAUCUCUUUAUGGGUAUAUUUUUUCUUAGUCAUCAAGAAAGCUCGAAAUAUUUGAUAAGAGUGAUUUUAUUAGAGAGUAGUAAAUAUCGACAGAAUGAGAUACCAGAAAGGUGGUUUUUUAUUAUUUUGUUU